Molecule: ribosomal RNA, 468 nt
Filed under: uncultured bacterium
Lineage: Bacteria
Description: partial 16S ribosomal RNA
Rfam family: Bacterial small subunit ribosomal RNA
Source: RNAcentral
GACGAACGCUGGCGGCGUGCUUAACACAUGCAAGUCGAACGGAAAGGCCCUGCUUUUGUGGGGUGCUCGAUUGGCGAGCGGGUGUGUAACACGUGAGUAACCUGCCCUUGACUUUGGGAUAACUUCAGGAAACUGGGGAUAAUACCGGGUAGAAGCUCCUGCUGCAUGGUGGGGAUUGGAAAGUUUCGGCGGUUGGGGAUGUACUCGCGGCUUAUCAGCUUGUUGGUGGGGUAGUUGCUGACCAAGGCUUUGACGGGUAGCCGGCAUGGGAGGGUGACCGGCCACAUGGGGACUGAGAGACGGCCCAGACUCCAACGGGAGGCAGCAGUGGGGAAUAUUACACAAUGGGCGGAAGCCUGAGGCAGAAACGCUGCGUGCGUGAUGCCGGCCUUCGGGGUGUAAACCGCUGUCGCCUGUGACGAAGCGUGAGUGACGGUAAUGGGUAAAGAAGCACCGGCUAACUACGUG